This 72-nucleotide transfer RNA is filed under the name Camelus bactrianus (Bactrian camel). It matches the Rfam family "tRNA". From Rfam's summary of the family: Transfer RNA (tRNA) molecules are approximately 80 nucleotides in length. The record is from Rfam by way of RNAcentral. RNAcentral also lists the same sequence under 3 other names. Lineage: Eukaryota; Metazoa; Chordata; Mammalia; Artiodactyla; Camelidae.
GUAGGUAUAGCUCAGAGGUAGAGUGCAUACUUACUAUGCAUGAGGUCUUGGGUUCAAGCCCCAGUACGUCCA